Molecule: ribosomal RNA, 381 nt
Filed under: uncultured bacterium
Lineage: Bacteria
Description: bacterial SSU rRNA
Rfam family: Bacterial small subunit ribosomal RNA
Source: RNAcentral
AUUGAACGCUGGCGGCAUGCCUUACACAUGCAAGUCGAACGGCAGCGGACCUUCGGGUGCCGGCGAGUGGCGAACGGGUGAGUAAUAUAUCGGAACGUACCUUUCAGUGGGGGAUAACGUAGCGAAAGUUACGCUAAUACCGCAUAUUCUGUGAGCAGGAAAGCAGGGGAUCGCAAGACCUUGCGCUGAUUGAGCGGCCGAUAUCAGAUUAGCUAGUUGGUGAGGUAAAGGCUCACCAAGGCGACGAUCUGUAGCGGGUCUGAGAGGAUGAUCCGCCACACUGGAACUGAGACACGGUCCAGACUCCUACGGGAGGCAGCAGUGGGGAAUUUUGGACAAUGGNGCAAGCCUGAUCCAGCCAUNCCGCGUGAGUGAAGAAGG